RNAcentral lists this microRNA precursor (100 nucleotides) under Prunus dulcis (almond). RNAcentral describes it as "sRNA ncRNA". The record is from RNAcentral. Lineage: Eukaryota; Viridiplantae; Streptophyta; Magnoliopsida; Rosales; Rosaceae.
ACUUUCGUUAGGACAAAUGGUCAUGCCGUCAAUUUUGUUAACUUUUUCUGUUAAAUGUAAGGGCAAAAUUAAUGGCAUGACCAGUUGUCCUAACGAAAGU